CCUACGGGUGGCAGCAGUGAGGAAUAUUGGUCAAUGGACGCAAGUCUGAACCAGCCAUGCCGCGUGCAGGAAGACGGCUCUAUGAGUUGUAAACUGCUUUUGUACGAGGGUAAAUCCCGAUACGUGUAUCGGAUUGAAAGUAUCGUACGAAUAAGGAUCGGCCAACUCCGUGCCAGCAGCCGCGGUAAUACGGAGGAUUCAAGCGUUAUCCGGAUUUAGUGGGUUUAAGGGGCGCGUAGGCGGUUCGAGAAGUUAGAGGUGAAAGCCCGGGGCCCAACUCCGGCACUGCCUCUGAUACUGUCGGGCUAGAGUGUAGUAGCGGUAGGCGGAAUGUAUGGUGUAGCGGUGAAAUGCAUAGAGAUCAUACAGAACACCGGUGGCGAAGGCAGCUUGCCAAACUACGACUGACGUUGAGGCACGAAAGCGUGGGGAGCAAACAGGAUUAGAUACCCUUGUAGUC
RNAcentral lists this ribosomal RNA (460 nucleotides) under uncultured bacterium. Its description in RNAcentral is "partial 16S ribosomal RNA". It matches the Rfam family "Bacterial small subunit ribosomal RNA", at positions 338 to 795 of the family's 1533-position model. The record is from RNAcentral.